RNAcentral lists this ribosomal RNA (305 nucleotides) under uncultured bacterium. RNAcentral describes it as "bacterial SSU rRNA". It matches the Rfam family "Bacterial small subunit ribosomal RNA", at positions 334 to 638 of the family's 1533-position model. The record is from RNAcentral.
UUCGCCUACGGGACGCAGCAGUGGGGAAUAUUGCACAAUGGGCGCAAGCCUGAUGCAGCGACGCCGCGUGCGGGAUGGAGGCCUUCGGGUUGUAAACCGCUUUUGUUCAAGGGCAAGGCACGGCUUCGGGCCGUGUUGAGUGGAUUGUUCGAAUAAGCACCGGCUAACUACGUGCCAGCAGCCGCGGUAAUACGUAGGGUGCGAGCGUUAUCCGGAUUUAUUGGGCGUAAAGGGCUCGUAGGCGGUUCGUCGCGUCCGGUGUGAAAGUCCAUCGCCUAACGGUGGAUCUGCGCCGGGUACGGGCG